This 1022-nucleotide ribosomal RNA is filed under the name Alexandrium catenella. RNAcentral describes it as "partial large subunit ribosomal RNA". It matches the Rfam family "Eukaryotic large subunit ribosomal RNA", at positions 122 to 1114 of the family's 3401-position model. Lineage: Eukaryota; Dinophyceae; Gonyaulacales; Pyrocystaceae. The record is from RNAcentral.
UGGAGCUAUUGGCUUUGAAUUGUAUUGUGGAAAUGUAUUACCAACAGAGGUGCAGGUGCCAGCCUAUUGAAAUAAAGCGUCAAUGAGGGUGAGAAUCCUGUUUGUCAUGUGCACGGUGUAUAUUUGCUGAGUCACACUCCUUGGCAUUGGAAUGCAAAGUGGGUGGUAAGUUUCAUGUAAAGGUAAACAUGCAAUUGAGACUGAUAGCACACAAGUACCAUGAGGGAAAUAUGAAAAGGACUUUGAAAAGAGAAUUAAAUGAGUUUGUAUUUGCUGAACACAAAGUAAACAGACUUGAUUUGCUUGGUGGGAGUGUUGCACUUGCUUGACAAGAGCUUUGGGCUGUGGGUGUAAUGAUUCUUUCUUUGCAUGCCAGUUUCUAUUUGUACAUCUGAUUACCUUUGCACAUGAAUGAUAAGUCUCCUGUGGGGGGUGGAUUGCAUGUGCAUGUAAUGAUUUGUGUUUUGAUAAAUGUGUCUGGUGUAUGUGUGUGUUCCUGUGCUUGGGGAUGCUUCCUUCCUUGGACUUACAAGCCCUGACACACACAUGCUGGCAAAAUGCUUCUGCUUGACCCGUCUUGAAACACGGACCAAGGAGUCUAACAGAUGUGCAAAGUUUGAAGGUGGUAUACCUUUGUGUGCAAUGAAAGUGUCAGCUGGGAUAUGUGCACCAGCACCCAAUUAAUUAGCGGACAGAGGUUUGAGUUGGAGCAUAUCUAUUAGGACCCGAAAGAUGGUGAACUAUGCCUGAACAGAAUGAAUUCAGAGGAAACUCUGAUGGAGGUUCGUAUCGAUACUGACGUGCAAAUCGUUCGUCAUAUUUGGGUAUAGGGGCGAAAGACUAAUCGAACCAUCUAGUAGCUGGUUCCCUCCGAAGUUUCCCUCAGGAUAGCUGGAGUUGCUCAGUUUUAUCAGGUAAAGCGAAUGAUUAGAGGAAUUGGGGACAGGUUUGUCUUUGACCUAUUCUCAAACUUUAAAUGGGUAAUAUGUAGUGGUUGCUGUAUGGAACUUCUAAGAUAAAUG